UACAGAGGUCCCAAGCGUUGUUCGGAUUCACUGGGCGUAAAGGGUGCGUAGGCGGUCGGGUAAGUCUGAUGUGAAAUCUCACAGCUUAACUGUGAAACUGCAUUGGAUACUAUCCGGCUAGAGGAAUGGAGGGGAGACUGGAAUACUUGGUGUAGCAGUGAAAUGCGUAGAGAUGCGGAGGAACACCGAUGGCGAAGGCAGCCCCCUGGGCUAACACUGACGCUCAGGCACGAAAGCGUGGGGAGCAAACAGG
RNAcentral lists this ribosomal RNA (253 nucleotides) under uncultured bacterium. Its description in RNAcentral is "partial 16S ribosomal RNA". It matches the Rfam family "Bacterial small subunit ribosomal RNA", at positions 524 to 776 of the family's 1533-position model. The record is from RNAcentral.